RNAcentral lists this ribosomal RNA (376 nucleotides) under uncultured bacterium. Its description in RNAcentral is "bacterial SSU rRNA". It matches the Rfam family "Bacterial small subunit ribosomal RNA", at positions 521 to 895 of the family's 1533-position model. The record is from RNAcentral.
UAAUACGAAGGCAGCAAGCGUUGUUCGGAAUUACUGGGCGUAAAGAGUGUGUAGGCUGUUCUCUAAGUUUGGUGUGAAAUCUCCCGGCUCAACCGGGAGGGUGCACCGAAAACUGUAGGGCUUGAGUAUGGGAGAGGAAAGCGGAAUUCCUGGUGUAGCGGUGAAAUGCGUAGAUAUCGGAAGGAACACCUGUGGCGAAAGCGGCUCACUGGACCAUUACUGACGCUGAUGCACGAAAGCUAGGGGAGCAAACAGGAUUAGAUACCCUGGUAGUCCUAGCCCUAAACGAUGAUUGCUUGAUGUGGAGGGUACCCAAUCCUUCCGUGUCGAAGCUAACGCGAUAAGCAAUCCGCCUGGGGAGUACGGUCGCAAGGCU